UACGUAGGGUCCAAGCGUUAUCCGGAAUCACUGGGCGUAAAGCGUGCGUAGGCGGCUCGUUUAGUGCGAUGCGAAAUCGUGUGGCUCAACCAUACGACUGUGUCGCAUACUGGCGGGCUUGAGGACGGCAGAGGCAAGUGGAAUUACGGGUGUAGCAGUGAAAUGCGUAGAGAUCCGUAGGAACACCAAUGGCGAAGGCAGCUUGCUGGGCCGACCCUGACGCUAAGGCACGAAAGCGUGGGGAGCGAACAGG
RNAcentral lists this ribosomal RNA (253 nucleotides) under uncultured bacterium. RNAcentral describes it as "partial 16S ribosomal RNA". It matches the Rfam family "Bacterial small subunit ribosomal RNA", at positions 524 to 776 of the family's 1533-position model. The record is from RNAcentral.